This 421-nucleotide ribosomal RNA is filed under the name Streptococcus sp. oral taxon C14. Its description in RNAcentral is "bacterial SSU rRNA". It matches the Rfam family "Bacterial small subunit ribosomal RNA", at positions 30 to 444 of the family's 1533-position model. The record is from RNAcentral. Lineage: Bacteria; Bacillati; Bacillota; Bacilli; Lactobacillales; Streptococcaceae.
AUUGAACGCUGGCGGCAGGCUUAACACAUGCAAGUCGAACGGUAACAUAAAGAAGCUUGCUUCUUUGAUGACGAGUGGCGGACGGGUGAGUAAUGCUUGGGAAUCUAGCUUAUGGAGGGGGAUAACUACGGGAAACUGUAGCUAAUACCGCGUAAUAUCGAAAGAUUAAAGUGUGGGACCCUCGGGCCACAUGCCAUAGGAUGAGCCCAAGUGGGAUUAGGUAGUUGGUGAGGUAAAGGCUCACCAAGCCGACGAUCUCUAGCUGGUCUGAGAGGCAUGACCAGCCACACUGGGACUGAGACACGGCCCAGACUCCUACGGGAGGCAGCAGUGGGGAAUAUUGCGCAAUGGGGGCAACCCUGACGCAGCCAUGCCGCGUGAAUGAAGAAGGCCUUCGGGCUGUAAAGUUCUUUCGGUAGCG